Molecule: long non-coding RNA, 542 nt
Filed under: Mytilus galloprovincialis (Mediterranean mussel)
Lineage: Eukaryota; Metazoa; Mollusca; Bivalvia; Mytilida; Mytilidae
Source: RNAcentral
CAACUGUAUCACUGGGAGAUAUAUGUUAUGUCUGCAGGGUCAGCUGGAAUAUUUUCAUUUUACUUUUUUUGCUACAUAGAAACGUAGAGUUCACAAUUAGGAGGCUGAUAUCAUUAAUUUCGAUGUAAAGUAUUCGUCUCAAUCUACCCUCGAUGUCUAUACGUAAAUCAAAAUACGAGACAAACUCUGAGGUAUAAGAUAGAGGCGAUAGAUACGAAUAGCCCAUUCAAACUCAUACUAAAUAAAAGUCGAAAAUGAACUGACAACGCAUUACCUAAAAAAAGAAGAAAGAAACAGACAAAAAUUCCUUUAUUUCAAUUGCAAUGGGAUAUAUGAGUUUACCAUACAUACUAAACUUUGAAUUAUUUAUCGAGAAGACAUUAUCUAUAUAACGAAGGUAAAGUUAUAAGAUAUUAGUAGCUUCCGCCCAUUCUACAUGAAAAGCUAGCGUAUGUGUGUUGAUCAAGGUCAUCCAAACGUAACAUAUAUAUUGUGACGAUUAACGGUUUUUUUUAUAUAUAAAAUCGGAUCAACUGGGGCGA